GAUGAACGCUGGCGGCGUGCCUAAUACAUGCAAGUCGAGCGAACGGACGAGAAGCUUGCUUCUCUGAUGUUAGCGGCGGACGGGUGAGUAACACGUGGAUAACCUACCUAUAAGACUGGGAUAACUUCGGGAAACCGGAGCUAAUACCGGAUAAUAUUUUGAACCGCAUGGUUCAAAAGUGAAAGACGGUCUUGCUGUCACUUAUAGAUGGAUCCGCGCUGCAUUAGCUAGUUGGUAAGGUAACGGCUUACCAAGGCAACGAUGCAUAGCCGACCUGAGAGGGUGAUCGGCCAGACUGGAACUGAGACACGGUCCAGACUCCUACGGGAGGCAGCAGUAGGAAAUCUUCCGCAAUGGGCGAAAGCCUGACGGAGCAACGCCGCGUGAGUGAUGAAGGUCUUCGGAUCGUAAAACUCUGUUAUUAGGGAAGAACAUAUGUGUAAGUAACUGUGCACAUCUUGACGGUACCUAAUCAGAAAGCCACGGCUAACUACGUG
This 497-nucleotide ribosomal RNA is filed under the name uncultured bacterium. RNAcentral describes it as "partial 16S ribosomal RNA". It matches the Rfam family "Bacterial small subunit ribosomal RNA", at positions 28 to 507 of the family's 1533-position model. The record is from RNAcentral.